This 507-nucleotide ribosomal RNA is filed under the name uncultured bacterium. RNAcentral's name for it is "bacterial SSU rRNA". It matches the Rfam family "Bacterial small subunit ribosomal RNA", at positions 9 to 526 of the family's 1533-position model. The record is from RNAcentral.
GAGUUUGAUCCUGGCUCAGGACGAACGCUGGCGGCGCGCCUAACACAUGCAAGUCGAACGAGCGAGAGAGAGCUUGCUUUCUCGAGCGAGUGGCGAACGGGUGAGUAACGCGUGAGGAACCUGCCUCAAAGAGGGGGACAACAGUUGGAAACGACUGCUAAUACCGCAUAAGCCCACAGGUCGGCAUCGACCAGAGGGAAAAGGAGCAAUCCGCUUUGAGAUGGCCUCGCGUCCGAUUAGCUAGUUGGUGAGGUAACGGCCCACCAAGGCAACGAUCGGUAGCCGGACUGAGAGGUUGAACGGCCACAUUGGGACUGAGACACGGCCCAGACUCCUACGGGAGGCAGCAGUGGGGAAUAUUGCGCAAUGGGCGAAGGCCUGACCCAGCAACGCCGCGUGAGGGAAGAAGGCUUUCGGGUUGUAAACCUCUGUCCUUGGUGACGAAGGAAGUGACGGUAGCCAAGGAGGAAGCCCCGGCUAACUACGUGCCAGCCGCCGCGGUAAUUC